GAUGAACGCUGGCGGCGUGCCUAAUACAUGCAAGUCGAGCGAACAGAUGAGGAGCUUGCUCCUCUGACGUUAGCGGCGGACGGGUGAGUAACACGUGGAUAACCUACCUAUAAGACUGGGAUAACUUCGGGAAACCGGAGCUAAUACCGGAUAAUAUAUUGAACCGCAUGGUUCAAUAGUGAAAGACGGUUUUGCUGUCACUUAUAGAUGGAUCCGCGCCGCAUUAGCUGGUUGGUACGGUAACGGCUUACCAAGGCAACGAUGCGUAGCCGACGUGACAGGGUGAUCGGCCACCCUGGAACUGAGACACGGACCAGACUCCUACGGGAGGCAGCAGUAGGGAAUCGUCCGCAAUGGGCGAAAGCCUGACGCAGCAACGCGGCGUGAGUGAUGAAGGUGUUCGGAUCGGAAAACUCUGUUACUAGGGAAGAACAAAUGUGGAAGUAAAUAUGCACGUCUUGACGGUACCUAAUCAGAAAGCCACGGCUAACUACGUG
RNAcentral lists this ribosomal RNA (497 nucleotides) under uncultured bacterium. RNAcentral's name for it is "partial 16S ribosomal RNA". It matches the Rfam family "Bacterial small subunit ribosomal RNA", at positions 28 to 507 of the family's 1533-position model. The record is from RNAcentral.